ACGGGAGGCAGCAGUGAGGAAUAUUGGUCAAUGGACGGAAGUCUGAACCAGCCAUGCCGCGUGAAGGAAUAAGGCCCUAUGGGUCGUAAACUUCUUUUGUGGUGGAGCAAUAAGGUGCACGUGUGCAUCGAUGAGAGUACAUCACGAAUAAGCAUCGGCUAACUCCGUGCCAGCAGCCGCGGUAAUACGGAGGAUGCGAGCGUUAUCCGGAUUUAUUGGGUUUAAAGGGUGCGUAGGCGGGAUGUUAAGUCAGCGGUUAAAUAGUGUAGCUCAACUAUACUUUGCCGUUGAAACUGGCGUUCUUGAGUGUAAACGAGGUAGGCGGAAUGUGACGUGUAGCGGUGAAAUGCUUAGAUAUGUCACAGAACCCCGAUUGCGAAGGCAGCUUACCAGGAUACAACUGACGCUGAGGCACGAAAGCGUGGGUAUCAAACAGGAUUAGAUACCCUGGUA
RNAcentral lists this ribosomal RNA (453 nucleotides) under uncultured Porphyromonadaceae bacterium. Its description in RNAcentral is "partial 16S ribosomal RNA". It matches the Rfam family "Bacterial small subunit ribosomal RNA", at positions 341 to 792 of the family's 1533-position model. Lineage: Bacteria; Pseudomonadati; Bacteroidota; Bacteroidia; Bacteroidales; Porphyromonadaceae. The record is from RNAcentral.